RNAcentral lists this ribosomal RNA (1160 nucleotides) under Lactiplantibacillus plantarum. RNAcentral's name for it is "bacterial SSU rRNA". It matches the Rfam family "Bacterial small subunit ribosomal RNA", at positions 35 to 1157 of the family's 1533-position model. The record is from RNAcentral. Lineage: Bacteria; Bacillati; Bacillota; Bacilli; Lactobacillales; Lactobacillaceae.
GUGGAGUACGGCGUGCAUAUACAUGCAAGUCGUACGACGUCAUGCGCUAUUGAUUGGUGCUUGCAUCAUGAUUUACAUUUGAGUGAGUGGCGAACUGGUGAGUAACACGUGGGAAACCUGCCCAGAAGCGGGGGAUAACACCUGGAAACAGAUGCUAAUACCGCAUAACAACUUGGACCGCAUGGUCCGAGUUUGAAAGAUGGCUUCGGCUAUCACUUUUGGAUGGUCCCGCGGCGUAUUAGCUAGAUGGUGGGGUAACGGCUCACCAUGGCAAUGAUACGUAGCCGACCUGAGAGGGUAAUCGGCCACAUUGGGACUGAGACACGGCCCAAACUCCUACGGGAGGCAGCAGUAGGGAAUCUUCCACAAUGGACGAAAGUCUGAUGGAGCAACGCCGCGUGAGUGAAGAAGGGUUUCGGCUCGUAAAACUCUGUUGUUAAAGAAGAACAUAUCUGAGAGUAACUGUUCAGGUAUUGACGGUAUUUAACCAGAAAGCCACGGCUAACUACGUGCCAGCAGCCGCGGUAAUACGUAGGUGGCAAGCGUUGUCCGGAUUUAUUGGGCGUAAAGCGAGCGCAGGCGGUUUUUUAAGUCUGAUGUGAAAGCCUUCGGCUCAACCGAAGAAGUGCAUCGGAAACUGGGAAACUUGAGUGCAGAAGAGGACAGUGGAACUCCAUGUGUAGCGGUGAAAUGCGUAGAUAUAUGGAAGAACACCAGUGGCGAAGGCGGCUGUCUGGUCUGUAACUGACGCUGAGGCUCGAAAGUAUGGGUAGCAAACAGGAUUAGAUACCCUGGUAGUCCAUACCGUAGACGAUGAAUGCUAAGUGUUGGAGGGUUUCCGCCCUUCAGUGCUGCAGCUAACGCAUUAAGCAUUCCGCCUGGGGAGUACGGCCGCAAGGCUGAAACUCAAAGGAAUUGACGGGGGCCCGCACAAGCGGUGGAGCAUGUGGUUUAAUUCGAAGCUACGCGAAGAACCUUACCAGGUCUUGACAUACUAUGCAAAUCUAAGAGAUUAGACGUUCCCUUCGGGGACAUGGAUACAGGUGGUGCAUGGUUGUCGUCAGCUCGUGUCCUGAGAUGUUGGGUUAAGUCCCGCAACGAGCGCAACCCUUAUUAUCAGUUGCCAGCAUUAAGUUGGGCCCCUGGUGAAACUGCCGUGA